This 255-nucleotide ribosomal RNA is filed under the name uncultured bacterium. Its description in RNAcentral is "partial 16S ribosomal RNA". It matches the Rfam family "Bacterial small subunit ribosomal RNA", at positions 57 to 305 of the family's 1533-position model. The record is from RNAcentral.
GCAAGUCGAACGGUAACAUGGAAAAGCUUGCUUUUUUGAUGACGAGUGGCGCACGGGUGCGUAACGCGUAUACAAUCUACCUUUUACAGGGGGAUAGCCUUUAGAAAUGAAGAAUAAUACCCCAUGGCAAGUGAUUUUCGCAUGGAAGACACUUUAAAGUUUCGGCGGUAAAAGAUGAGUAUGCGUUCUAUUAGCUAGAUGGUGUGGUAACGGCACACCAUGGCAACGAUAGAUAGGGGCCCUGAGAGGGGGAUC